RNAcentral lists this long non-coding RNA (373 nucleotides) under Solanum tuberosum (potato). Its description in RNAcentral is "long non-coding RNA (STUB_LNC002359)". The record is from RNAcentral. Lineage: Eukaryota; Viridiplantae; Streptophyta; Magnoliopsida; Solanales; Solanaceae.
CAACCUUAAACCUCCUAUCUCGACAAUAUGGAAAUUUCCUUAUAUGAGGAUGUUGAAAUUUUUUCAUUUUUUUUUUCUGAUUGAUGACUGCUGGUAAAAUGAUAUGGUUAUUGUGCCCCUCAACCCAACCCGGAAGUAUAUAAUUCUUUUUUAAAAUAAAGUAAAAGUACACCCGGUAGAAGUAUAUAAUGCUUUCCUCACUCUGAAUCUGAAGCAAAAAGAGUGCUUCCAAAACAGUUUAUAAAAAAAAGGUAAGUUUGAGGAUCAGAUUUCAUCAGGGCAUAUGGACACAUUCAGAACAAUAAAAAUGGUCAGAAUUAAACAAAACGUAAAAUAGAAAAGAGCUCCAAAGUACACAAAUUCUAAAGGAGAA